Molecule: ribosomal RNA, 1481 nt
Filed under: Achromobacter sp. R-41384
Lineage: Bacteria; Pseudomonadati; Pseudomonadota; Betaproteobacteria; Burkholderiales; Alcaligenaceae
Description: bacterial SSU rRNA
Rfam family: Bacterial small subunit ribosomal RNA
Source: RNAcentral
AUUGAACGCUAGCGGGAUGCCUUACACAUGCAAGUCGAACGGCAGCACGGACUUCGGUCUGGUGGCGAGUGGCGAACGGGUGAGUAAUGUAUCGGAACGUGCCCAGUAGCGGGGGAUAACUACGCGAAAGCGUAGCUAAUACCGCAUACGCCCUACGGGGGAAAGCAGGGGAUCGCAAGCCUUGCACUAUUGGAGCGGCCGAUAUCGGAUUAGCUAGUUGGUGGGGUAACGGCUCACCAAGGCGACGAUCCKAGCUGGUUUGAGAGGACGACCAGCCACACUGGGAYUGAGACACGGCCCGGACUCYUACGGGAGGCAGCAGUGGGGAAUUUUGGACAAUGGGGGGAACCCUGAUCCAGCCAUCCCGCGUGUGCGAUGAAGGCCUUCGGGUUGUAAAGCACUUUUGGCAGGAAAGAAACGUCGCGGGUUAAUACCCCGCGGAACUGACGGUACCUGCAGAAUAAGCACCGGCUAACUACGUGCCAGCAGCCGCGGUAAUACGUAGGGUGCAAGCGUUAAUCGGAAUUACUGGGCGUAAAGCGUGCGCAGGCGGUUCGGAAAGAAAGAUGUGAAAUCCCAGAGCUUAACUUUGGAACUGCAUUUUUAACUACCGGGCUAGAGUGUGUCAGAGGGAGGUGGAAUUCCGCGUGUAGCAGUGAAAUGCGUAGAUAUGCGGAGGAACACCGAUGGCGAAGGCAGCCUCCUGGGAUAACACUGACGCUCAUGCACGAAAGCGUGGGGAGCAAACAGGAUUAGAUACCCUGGUAGUCCACGCCCUAAACGAUGUCAACUAGCUGUUGGGGCCUUCGGGCCUUGGUAGCGCAGCUAACGCGUGAAGUUGACCGCCUGGGGAGUACGGUCGCAAGAUUAAAACUCAAAGGAAUUGACGGGGACCCGCACAAGCGGUGGAUGAUGUGGAUUAAUUCGAUGCAACGCGAAAAACCUUACCUACCCUUGACAUGUCUGGAAUCCUGAAGAGAUUUAGGAGUGCUCGCAAGAGAACCGGAACACAGGUGCUGCAUGGCUGUCGUCAGCUCGUGUCGUGAGAUGUUGGGUUAAGUCCCGCAACGAGCGCAACCCUUGUCAUUAGUUGCUACGAAAGGGCACUCUAAUGAGACUGCCGGUGACAAACCGGAGGAAGGUGGGGAUGACGUCAAGUCCUCAUGGCCCUUAUGGGUAGGGCUUCACACGUCAUACAAUGGUCGGGACAGAGGGUCGCCAACCCGCGAGGGGGAGCCAAUCCCAGAAACCCGAUCGUAGUCCGGAUCGCAGUCUGCAACUCGACUGCGUGAAGUCGGAAUCGCUAGUAAUCGCGGAUCAGCAUGUCGCGGUGAAUACGUUCCCGGGUCUUGUACACACCGCCCGUCACACCAUGGGAGUGGGUUUUACCAGAAGUAGUUAGCCUAACCGCAAGGAGGGCGAUUACCACGGUAGGAUUCAUGACUGGGGUGAAGUCGUAACAAGGUAGCCGUAUCGGAAGG